Molecule: ribosomal RNA, 276 nt
Filed under: unidentified marine bacterioplankton
Lineage: Bacteria
Description: partial 16S ribosomal RNA
Rfam family: Bacterial small subunit ribosomal RNA
Source: RNAcentral
AACGGUGAAGCCCCGCUUGCGGGGUGGAUCAGUGGCGAACGGGUGAGUAACACGUGAGCAACCUGCCCCUGACUCUGGGAUAAGCGCUGGAAACGGCGUCUAAUACUGGAUACGAGACGUGAUCGCAUGGUCAACGUUUGGAAAGAUUUUUUCGGUUGAAGAUGACCUCGCGGCCUAUCAGCUUGUUGGUGAGGUAAUGGCUCACCAAGGCGACGACGGGUAGCCGGCCUGAGAGGGCGACCGGCCACACUGGGACUGAGACACGGCCCAGACUCC